UACGUAGGGGACGAGCGUUGUCCGGAGUUACUGGGCGUAAAGCGCCCGCAGGCGGUCCGCUCAGUUUGCGCUGACAGCUCCUGGCUUAACUGGGAGAGUGGUGCGAAGACGGGCGGACUGAGAGGACCAGAGAGGGACAUGGAACUCCGGGUGUAGUGGUGAAAUGCGUAGAUAUCCGGAAGAACACCAAAGGCGAAGGCAGUGUCCUGGCUGGUACCUGACGCUGAAGGGCGAAAGCUAGGGGAGCGAACGGG
Molecule: ribosomal RNA, 254 nt
Filed under: uncultured bacterium
Lineage: Bacteria
Description: partial 16S ribosomal RNA
Rfam family: Bacterial small subunit ribosomal RNA
Source: RNAcentral